RNAcentral lists this ribosomal RNA (253 nucleotides) under uncultured prokaryote. Its description in RNAcentral is "partial 16S ribosomal RNA". It matches the Rfam family "Bacterial small subunit ribosomal RNA", at positions 525 to 777 of the family's 1533-position model. The record is from RNAcentral.
ACGGAGGGUGCGAGCGUUGUCCGGAAUCACUGGGCGUAAAGGGCGCGUAGGCGGCCUGAUAAGUCGGGGGUGAAAUCCUGUGGCUCAACCACAGAAUUGCCUUCGAUACUGCAUGGCUUGAGACCGGAAGAGGUUAGUGGAACUGCGAGUGUAGAGGUGAAAUUCGUAGAUAUUCGCAAGAACACCAGUGGCGAAGGCGGCUGACUGGUCCGGUUCUGACGCUGAGGCGCGAAAGCGUGGGGAGCAAACAGGA